CUUGUGCCAAGCAGCCGCGGUAAUUCCAGCUCCAAUAGCGUAUAUUAAAGUUGUUGUGGUUAAAAAGCUCGUAGUUGGAUCUCAACAGCCUUGAAGCGGUUAACUUUGUAGUUUUACUGCUUUAUAGGCUGUGCUUUUGCUGGAGGUUUAGGGGUGCUCUUGAUCGAGUGUCUCUGGAUGCCAGCAGGUUUACUUUGAAAAAAUUAGAGUGCUCAAAGCAGGCUAAAAUGCCUGAAUAUUCGUGCAUGGAAUAAUAGAAUAGGAUGUCGAUCCUAUUUUGUUGGUUUUCGGGACUCGACAUAAUGAUAAAUAGGGACAGUCGGGGGCAUUUGUAUUCAAACGACAGAGGUGAAAUUCUUGGACCGUUUGAAGACAAACUACUGCGAAAGCAUUUGCCAAGAAUGUUUUCAUUAAUCAAGAACGAAAGUUAGAGGUUCGAAGGCGAUUAGAUACCGCCCUAGUUCUAACCAUAAACGAUGCCAGCUAGCGAUCUGCCUGCGUUUUUACUGUAGACUGGGCAGGAAGCUUCCGGGAAACCAAAGCAUUUGGGUUCCAGGGGAAGUAUGGUUGCAAAGCUGAAACUUAAAGGAAUUGACGGAAGGGCACCACCAGGAGUGGAGCCUGUGGCUUAAUUUGACUCAACACGGGAAAUCUCACCAGGCCCGGACACUGGAAGGAUUGACAGAUUGAUAGCUCUUUCUUGAUUCGGUGGGUGGUGGUGCAUGGCCGUUCUUAGUUGGUGGAGUGAUUUGUCUGGUUAAUUCCGAUAACGAACGAGACUCUGUCCUGCUAAAUAGUUUCUACUUCUCUUUUGAGUAGAAAUUUCUUCUUAGAGGGACUGGUGACUCUUAGUCACACGAGAUUGAGCAAUAACAGGUCUGUGAUGC
Molecule: ribosomal RNA, 887 nt
Filed under: uncultured eukaryote
Lineage: Eukaryota
Description: SSU rRNA
Rfam family: Eukaryotic small subunit ribosomal RNA
Source: RNAcentral